UUAGCUUGUUGGCGGGGUAACGGCCCACCAAGGCGACGAUCAGUAGGGGUUCUGAGAGGAAGGUCCCCCACAUUGGAACUGAGACACGGUCCAAACUCCUACGGGAGGCAGCAGUGAGGAAUAUUGGUCAAUGGACGAGAGUCUGAACCAGCCAAGUAGCGUGCAGGAUGACGGCCCUAUGGGUUGUAAACUGCUUUUAUAAGGGAAUAAAGUGAGCCUCGUGAGGCUUUUUGCAUGUACCUUAUGAAUAAGGACCGGCUAAUUCCGUGCCAGCAGCCGCGGUAAUACGGAAGGUCCGGGCGUUAUCCGGAUUUAUUGGGUUUAAAGGGAGCGUAGGCCGGAGAUUAAGCGUGUUGUGAAAUGUAGACGCUCAACGUCUGCACUGCAGCGCGAACUGGUUUCCUGGAGUACGCACAAAGUGGGCGGAAUUCGUGGUGUAGCGGUGAAAUGCUUAGAUAUCACGAAGAACUCCGAUUGCGAAGGCAGCUCACUGGAGCGCAACUGACGCUGAAGCUCGAAAGUGCGGGUAUCGAACAGGAUUAGAUACCCUGGUAGUCCGCGCGGUAAACGAUGGAUGCCCGCUGUUGGGCCAACUGGUUCAGCGGCCAAGCGAAAGCAUUAAGCAUCCCACCUGGGGAGUACGCCGGCAACGGUGAAACUCAAAGGAAUUGACGGGGGCCCGCACAAGCGGAGGAACAUGUGGUUUAAUUCGAUGAUACGCGAGGAACCUUACCCGGGCUUGAAUUGCAGAGGAAGGAUUUGGAGACAAUGACGCCCUUCGGGGCCUCUGUGAAGGUGCUGCAUGGUUGUCGUCAGCUCGUGCCGUGAGGUGUCGGCUUAAGUGCCAUAACGAGCGCAACCCCUCUCCAUAGUUGCCAUCAGGUGAAGCUGGGCACUCUGUGGACACUGCCACCGUAAGGUGCGAGGAAGGUGGGGAUGACGUCAAAUCAGCACGGCCCUUACGUCCGGGGCUACACACGUGUUACAAUGGCAGGUACAGAGAGCCGGUCGUAUGCAAAUACGAUCCAAUCCUUAAAGCCUGUCUCAGUUCGGACUGGGGUCUGCAACCCGACCCCACGAAGCUGGAUUCGCUAGUAAUCGCGCAUCAGCCAUGGCGCGGUGAAUACGUUCCCGGGCCUUGUACACACCGCCCGUCAAGCCAUGAAAGCCGGGGGCGCCUGAAGUCCGUGACCGCAAGGAGCGGCCUAGGGCGAAACUGGUAAUUGGGGCUAAGUCGUAACAAGGUA
Molecule: ribosomal RNA, 1247 nt
Filed under: metagenome
Description: bacterial SSU rRNA
Rfam family: Bacterial small subunit ribosomal RNA
Source: RNAcentral